RNAcentral lists this unclassified non-coding RNA (390 nucleotides) under soil metagenome. RNAcentral's name for it is "partial contains 5.8S ribosomal RNA, internal transcribed spacer 2, and large subunit ribosomal RNA". The stretch from base 1 to 122 matches the Rfam family "5.8S ribosomal RNA", at positions 35 to 154 of the family's 154-position model. The record is from RNAcentral.
GAUGAAGAACGUAGCGAAAUGCGAUACUUGGUGUGAAUUGCAGAAUCCCGUGAACCAUCGAGUCUUUGAACGCAAGUUGCGCCCGAAGCCACUAGGCCGAGGGCACGCCUGCCUGGGCGUCACACGCCGUUGCCCCCCCAUCUACUCCUUCGGGAUUGCGGGGGGGCGGAUGAUGCCCUCCCGUGCGCCUAGCCGCGCGGUUGGCAUAAAUACCAAGUCCUCGGCGACGCACGCCACGACAAUCGGUGGUUGCGAAACCUCGGUUGCCCGUCGUGUGCGUUCGUCGCGCAUCGAGGGCUCGAAAAAAUGCUCGGCUCCGGCUGGGCUUUCAACGCGACCCCAGGUCAGGCGGGGUUACCCGCUGAAUUUAAGCAUAUCAUAAGCGGAGGA